Molecule: ribosomal RNA, 382 nt
Filed under: uncultured eukaryote
Lineage: Eukaryota
Description: partial 18S ribosomal RNA
Rfam family: Eukaryotic small subunit ribosomal RNA
Source: RNAcentral
CAAUAGUGUAUAUUAAAGUUGUUGCAGUUAAAAAGCUCGUAGUUGGAUUUCUGGUUGGAGCGACCGGUCGGGCAUUGAUUUGUCUGCACUGGAGUCGGUUCUGGCCAUCCUCUUGGAAAGUGCGUCUGUCAUUAAGUUGUCGGGCGUAUGAUCCAGGUCUUUUACUGUGAAAAAAUUAGAGUGUUUAAAGCAGGCCUUCGCCUUGAAUACAUUAGCAUGGAAUAAUAAGAUAGGACUUUGGUCUAUUUUGUUGGUUUGCAGACCGAAGUAAUGAUUAAUAGGGAUAGUUGGGGGUAUUUAUAUUCCAAUGUCAGAGGUGAAAUUCUUAGAUUUUUGGAAGAUAAACUUAUGCGAAAGCAUUUACCAAGGAUGUUUUCAUUAA